RNAcentral lists this ribosomal RNA (2325 nucleotides) under Escherichia coli. Its description in RNAcentral is "bacterial LSU rRNA". It matches the Rfam family "Bacterial large subunit ribosomal RNA", at positions 585 to 2925 of the family's 2925-position model. Lineage: Bacteria; Pseudomonadati; Pseudomonadota; Gammaproteobacteria; Enterobacterales; Enterobacteriaceae. The record is from RNAcentral.
UUUAUGGGGUGACUGCGUACCUUUUGUAUAAUGGGUCAGCGACUUAUAUUCUGUAGCAAGGUUAACCGAAUAGGGGAGCCGAAGGGAAACCGAGUCUUAACUGGGCGUUAAGUUGCAGGGUAUAGACCCGAAACCCGGUGAUCUAGCCAUGGGCAGGUUGAAGGUUGGGUAACACUAACUGGAGGACCGAACCGACUAAUGUUGAAAAAUUAGCGGAUGACUUGUGGCUGGGGGUGAAAGGCCAAUCAAACCGGGAGAUAGCUGGUUCUCCCCGAAAGCUAUUUAGGUAGCGCCUCGUGAAUUCAUCUCCGGGGGUAGAGCACUGUUUCGGCAAGGGGGUCAUCCCGACUUACCAACCCGAUGCAAACUGCGAAUACCGGAGAAUGUUAUCACGGGAGACACACGGCGGGUGCUAACGUCCGUCGUGAAGAGGGAAACAACCCAGACCGCCAGCUAAGGUCCCAAAGUCAUGGUUAAGUGGGAAACGAUGUGGGAAGGCCCAGACAGCCAGGAUGUUGGCUUAGAAGCAGCCAUCAUUUAAAGAAAGCGUAAUAGCUCACUGGUCGAGUCGGCCUGCGCGGAAGAUGUAACGGGGCUAAACCAUGCACCGAAGCUGCGGCAGCGACACUNGAAGGUGUACUGUGAGGUAUGCUGGAGGUAUCAGAAGUGCGAAUGCUGACAUAAGUAACGAUAAAGCGGGUGAAAAGCCCGCUCGCCGGAAGACCAAGGGUUCCUGUCCAACGUUAAUCGGGGCAGGGUGAGUCGACCCCUAAGGCGAGGCCGAAAGGCGUAGUCGAUGGGAAACAGGUUAAUAUUCCUGUACUUGGUGUUACUGCGAAGGGGGGACGGAGAAGGCUAUGUUGGCCGGGCGACGGUUGUCCCGGUUUAAGCGUGUAGGCUGGUUUUCCAGGCAAAUCCGGAAAAUCAAGGCUGAGGCGUGAUGACGAGGCACUACGGUGCUGAAGCAACAAAUGCCCUGCUUCCAGGAAAAGCCUCUAAGCAUCAGGUAACAUCAAAUCGUACCCCAAACCGACACAGGUGGUCAGGUAGAGAAUACCAAGGCGCUUGAGAGAACUCGGGUGAAGGAACUAGGCAAAAUGGUGCCGUAACUUCGGGAGAAGGCACGCUGAUAUGUAGGUGAAGCGACUUGCUCGUGGAGCUGAAAUCAGUCGAAGAUACCAGCUGGCUGCAACUGUUUAUUAAAAACACAGCACUGUGCAAACACGAAAGUGGACGUAUACGGUGUGACGCCUGCCCGGUGCCGGAAGGUUAAUUGAUGGGGUUAGCGGUAACGCGAAGCUCUUGAUCGAAGCCCCGGUAAACGGCGGCCGUAACUAUAACGGUCCUAAGGUAGCGAAAUUCCUUGUCGGGUAAGUUCCGACCUGCACGAAUGGCGUAAUGAUGGCCAGGCUGUCUCCACCCGAGACUCAGUGAAAUUGAACUCGCUGUGAAGAUGCAGUGUACCCGCGGCAAGACGGAAAGACCCCGUGAACCUUUACUAUAGCUUGACACUGAACAUUGAGCCUUGAUGUGUAGGAUAGGUGGGAGGCUUUGAAGUGUGGACGCCAGUCUGCAUGGAGCCGGCCUUGAAAUACCACCCUUUAAUGUUUGAUGUUCUAACGUUGGCCCCUGACCGGGGUUGCGGACAGUGUCUGGUGGGUAGUUUGACUGGGGCGGUCUCCUCCUAAAGAGUAACGGAGGAGCACGAAGGUUGGCUAAUCCUGGUCGGACAUCAGGAGGUUAGUGCAAUGGCAUAAGCCAGCUUGACUGCGAGCGUGACGGCGCGAGCAGGUGCGAAAGCAGGUCAUAGUGAUCCGGUGGUUCUGAAUGGAAGGGCCAUCGCUCAACGGAUAAAAGGUACUCCGGGGAUAACAGGCUGAUACCGCCCAAGAGUUCAUAUCGACGGCGGUGUUUGGCACCUCGAUGUCGGCUCAUCACAUCCUGGGGCUGAAGUAGGUCCCAAGGGUAUGGCUGUUCGCCAUUUAAAGUGGUACGCGAGCUGGGUUUAGAACGUCGUGAGACAGUUCGGUCCCUAUCUGCCGUGGGCGCUGGAGAACUGAGGGGGGCUGCUCCUAGUACGAGAGGACCGGAGUGGACGCAUCACUGGUGUUCGGGUUGUCAUGCCAAUGGCACUGCCCGGUAGCUAAAUGCGGAAGAGAUAAGUGCUGAAAGCAUCUAAGCACGAAACUUGCCCCGAGAUGAGUUCUCCCUGACUCCUUGAGAGUCCUGAAGGAACGUUGAAGACGACGACGUUGAUAGGCCGGGUGUGUAAGCGCAGCGAUGCGUUGAGCUAACCGGUACUAAUGAACCGUGAGGCUUAACCUU